Long non-coding RNA from Sphaerodactylus townsendi, 683 nucleotides. RefSeq lists it as uncharacterized. The record is from RefSeq and is a predicted model, not a curated record. Lineage: Eukaryota; Metazoa; Chordata; Lepidosauria; Squamata; Sphaerodactylidae. The transcript is spliced from 5 exons.
GACAAAUGCAGAGCAGCAUUUGAGCUGGCUUCCGGCUGAAUUGACAGGAUACAGCAAGGUAUCUCAAAGCAGUGUGCAACUCAUCCUUGCUUCUAUUGGGCCAGGGAUGUCUUUGAUUUAAAAAAAACCCUCUUGGAAGCACAUCGAAGUUGAGCCGUGGAAGCCAACAACGCCUCACUGUUCUCCCCCCUGCUGGAAGUACAAUUCGAACUCGGUCAGCAAAUACUUGACACCUCAAAGAACACGCCCUCAUGUUGUCUACCGUGAGCCGGAGAGGGAUCUUCCGCGGGCUAUCCAGGGACAUGUCAUCGUAAUGCUCCAGAACGGGGGUCCCAAGGAAGUCCAGUCGCUCCCUUCGCUGCCCCCACAAGCUGUCGUGGUGGAAAAGGGGAUUCCAAGAGUCUGCUUCUGACAAGCAAGAGGGGCAUGUCUCUGGUGGCAUCACAUCUAAUCCCGAAGGAGCUGCGACUGGUUCAGAAGUUUGCCAGGAAAACCAAAAGCUCUUGGUCUGAUGCAGUUUCUGAAGACACAACCCACGUUAUCAUGAAAACUGAUGAGGAUCUAGUGUGUGAGCGGACUCCCUAAAGAGAAUACUUCCUGGAGUAUAGCAGCAGCGCUUGAAAUGGGUGAGUGAGCCACCACUGGGUGCUGCAGUCACUUUCAGAAGGAAGGAAGGGUGCUAA